GCGGCAACAGCUCAAAUUUGAAAUCUGGCCCUCUUGGGGGUCCGAGUUGUAAUUUGCAGAGGGUGCUUUGGCGUUGGCUGUGGUCUAAGUUCCUUGGAACAGGACGUCGCAGAGGGUGAGAAUCCCGUAUGUGGCCGCCAGCCUUCGCCGUGUAAAGCCCCUUCGACGAGUCGAGUUGUUUGGGAAUGCAGCUCUAAAUGGGAGGUAAAUUUCUUCUAAAGCUAAAUAUUGGCCAGAGACCGAUAGCGCACAAGUAGAGUGAUCGAAAGAUGAAAAGCACUUUGGAAAGAGAGUCAAAAAGCACGUGAAAUUGUUGAAAGGGAAGCGCUUGCAGCCAGACUUGCUUGCAGUUGCUUAGCCGGGCUCCUGCCCGGUGUACUCUUCUGCACGCAGGCCAGCAUCAGUCCGGGCGGUUGGAUAAAGGCCUAUUAAACGUACCUCUCCUCGGGGAGGACUUAUAGGGUAGGCGACAUGCAACCAGCCCGGACUGAGGUCCGCGCGUCUGCUAGGAUGCUGGCGUAAUGGCUGUAAGCGGCCCGUCUUGAAACACGGACCAAGGAGUCUAACAUCUAUGCGAGUGUUUGGGUGUCAAGCCCGAGCGCGUAAUGAAAGUGAACGGAGGUGGGAACCUCUCGGGGUGCACCAUCGACCGAACCUGAUGUCUUCGGAUGGUUUUGAGUAAGAGCAUAGCUGUUGGGACCCGAAAGAUGGUGAACUAUGCCUGAAUAGGGUGAAGCCAGAGGAAACUCUGGUGGAGGCUCGCAGCGGUUCUGACGUGCAAAUCGAUCGUCAAAUUUGGGCAUAGGGGCGAAAGACUAAUCGAACUAUCUAGUA
RNAcentral lists this ribosomal RNA (834 nucleotides) under Podocarpomyces knysnanus. RNAcentral's name for it is "partial large subunit ribosomal RNA". It matches the Rfam family "Eukaryotic large subunit ribosomal RNA", at positions 98 to 949 of the family's 3401-position model. Lineage: Eukaryota; Fungi; Ascomycota; Dothideomycetes; Pleosporales; Amorosiaceae. The record is from RNAcentral.